This 468-nucleotide ribosomal RNA is filed under the name uncultured bacterium. RNAcentral's name for it is "partial 16S ribosomal RNA". It matches the Rfam family "Bacterial small subunit ribosomal RNA", at positions 28 to 507 of the family's 1533-position model. The record is from RNAcentral.
GACGAACGCUGGCGGCGUGCUUAACACAUGCAAGUCGAACGGAAAGGCCCUGCUUUUGUGGGGUGCUCGAGUGGCGAACGGGUGAGUAACACGUGAGUAACCUGCCCUUGACUUUGGGAUAACUUCAGGAAACUGGGGCUAAUACCGGAUAGGAGCUCCUGCUGCAUGGUGGGGGUUGGAAAGUUUCGGCGGUUGGGGAUGGACUCGCGGCUUAUCAGCUUGUUGGUGGGGUAGUUGCUUACCAAGGCUUUGACGGGUAGCCGGCCUGAGAGGGUGACCGGCCACAUUGGGACUGAGAUACGGACCAGACUCCUACGGGAGGCAGCAGUGGGGAAUAUUGCACAAUGGGCGGAAGCCUGAUGCAGCAACGCCGCGUGCGGGAUGACGGCCUUCGGGUUGUAAACCGCUUUCGCCUGUGACGAAGCGUGAGUGACGGUAAUGGGUAAAGAAGCACCGGCUAACUACGUG